RNAcentral lists this ribosomal RNA (497 nucleotides) under uncultured bacterium. RNAcentral's name for it is "partial 16S ribosomal RNA". It matches the Rfam family "Bacterial small subunit ribosomal RNA", at positions 28 to 507 of the family's 1533-position model. The record is from RNAcentral.
GAUGAACGCUGGCGGCGUGCCUAAUACAUGCAAGUCGAGCGAACAGACGAGGAGCUUGCUCCUUCGACGUUAGCGGCGGACGGGUGAGUAACACGUAGGUAACCUACCUAUAAGACUGGGAUAACUUCGGGAAACCGGAGCUAAUACCGGAUAAUAUUUCGAACCGCAUGGUUCGAUAGUGAAAGAUGGCUUUGCUAUCACUUAUAGAUGGACCUGCGCCGUAUUAGCUAGUUGGUAAGGUAACGGCUUACCAAGGCAACGAUACGUAGCCGACCUGAGAGGGUGAUCGGCCACACUGGAACUGAGACACGGUCCAGACUCCUACGGGAGGCAGCAGUAGUGAAUCUUCCGCAAUGGGCGAAAGCCUGACGGAGCAACGCCGCGUGAGUGAUGAAGGUCUUCGGAUCGUAAAACUCUGUUAUUAGGGAAGAACAAACGUGUAAGUAACUGUGCACGUCUUGACGGUACCUAAUCAGAAAGCCACGGCUAACUACGUG